GAUGAACGCUGGCGGCGUGCUUAACACAUGCAAGUCGAACGGAAAGGCUCCUGCUUGCAGGGGUACUCGAGUGGCGAACGGGUGAGUAACACGUGGGUGAUCUGCCCUGCACUUCGGGAUAAGCCUGGGAAACUGGGUCUAAUACCGGAUAGGACCACAUUUUGGAUGGUGUGGUGGAAAGUUUUUCGGUGUGGGAUGAGCUCGCGGCCUAUCAGCUUGUUGGUGGGGUAAUGGCCUACCAAGGCGUCGACGGGUAGCCGGCCUGAGAGGGUGUACGGCCACAUUGGGACUGAGAUACGGCCCAGACUCCUACGGGAGGCAGCAGUGGGGAAUAUUGCACAAUGGGCGCAAGCCUGAUGCAGCGACGCCGCGUGGGGGAUGACGGCCUUCGGGUUGUAAACUCCUUUCGCUAGGGACGAAGCGCAAGGGACGGUACCGGGAGAAGAAGCACCGGCUAACUACGU
Molecule: ribosomal RNA, 464 nt
Filed under: uncultured bacterium
Lineage: Bacteria
Description: partial 16S ribosomal RNA
Rfam family: Bacterial small subunit ribosomal RNA
Source: RNAcentral